AUGUGCUUUUCCUUUUUUUCCUGGAAUCCACCUGCUGUGAUAAUACCUAGGUUGGCGUUUGCAGUGACAAGGAUACCUAGUACACGUCAGGGGAACAAAAGCGGCAAGUCUUCACCAAUUAGCCUGGUAAGUGUAAUAGGCAAACUAUUGGGCAUGAGAGCGUAUGAAGAAAGUCGUAUACCCUGGAGGAUGGUGUUGGUGAGAAGGCAUUUGAGAAUGUAACAAACUAAGGGUCUGAAGGGGGAAAAGAAACUACAGGUACUCAGGAGAAGGAGUGGGAGAGACUUCAAGGUGACACAGUUAUAUACGGAUAGAUGAAGAGAGAGGGAGCUUUAGAGAUGAGGAUGGACAAGUGUGAAGCAGGUUUUACGAGGAAUUUAGACCUUAUUCUCAUGGCUACAUUAAAACCAUUGGAAUCUGAAAAAGAAUGGACAUAGGCCUUCAAAUUUAAUUUCUGUCCCUUGAACUUUUAUCCAAAGGGAAAUCUUUAGGUUAUUCAUCACCUAUGUUUAGUCCUAUCUAACAUAUUGAUGUGCCUAAUCAUAAAUUAAUUGAAGAACUUCAGGGCAUCAUUUUUAUCAUACAGAGUUCUCUCAAACACUUCUUCCUAUGAAUUUCUAUUCGUUCACUCUGCAGAAAUGUGGGAGUCAGGAGUUUGCUGAUUGGCAAUGAGUUGUUAAGUGACUGAGUUUGGAACUUAUCGGUUUUCCCAGUCAUAGCACAGCUUGAAUUCCUCAGUCUGCAGUCAGCAGCCUGAUUAGUCACCAGUAUUUUUUUAUCUUGUUGGUGUGGACAGUUCCUUAGUCUUGAGUAGCCCUGUUUUUCACCUUGGACUUGGAAUUCAUGCUCCUCCUUUGUGGCCUGAUGAAAAUGUGGCUCAUCUUAAACUUGGUGUGAGUCCCCAGGAAUGUAUUUGCAUGACUUGACACUCUAGAGAACGUGAGUGCUCUUCAGAUUAACCAGUGAACUCUCCCUCCUUGAUGGAAACCUUUGCCUCUGUACUUUUCUUGUAGUAUAACUCUGUGUUGAUUCGCUUGCUCCUGCUCACAGAUUACAAGCAUCGGAGGAUAUGACACAUGGAUUGGCCAUCCUAUAGCAAUGUCACUUGGAAGCCCUUGCAGAAAAGGAUGGGUGGAUAAACAGAUGAAAAAAUGAAUGGAGAAGAACAUCUUAUUUCCUAACAUACGUUUUUAAUGAAUGCUAGUAAGAGAAUGAAAGAUAUGUUACCUUAGUAGUUUGUUGACAUUUUUUUAGGAGAAAAUAAUGAGAAAAUAUAGUCUCUUAGAAGCAAACAAAUAUGAGAGUUUCACUGUUUUUCAUGACAAAUGACUACGACUAUGAAGGUAGUGAGAAAUAAGAGGAGUCAGGAAGCAAAAUAGAAAAAUCUGGGCAGCAUAGGACAGUGCGCAAAGAACUACAAACUGGAGAUAUCUGAUUCUCAAUUUUUAAGUUUUUACAUGUUUGACAUAAACAUCUUUUUCAAAGUUUGAGUACUGUCUGUCACAUACGAAGGAGGUACUAAGGAAUACACAGUUACACUUAUGUUAGAUAUAGCAAGAGUGUGAUUUUCUGUGAUGUUCUCAAUUCCAGGGACAAAUGACUCAUGAAUACAUAGUCUGGUGACCAUGAUCUCCAUCAACAGAGACAAUUCUAGUUCAACACUGACGCAGGCCAAAGGCAUAAAACAAAAGUAUAGUUUCCAUCCUUCUGAAUUCAACCAUAAAUCUAGAAGUAAAAUAAUAAAAACACAGGAAAAAUAGCCAUAGUUUCAUUGUUCAUGUUGCACAAAAGGUCUAAGAGACACAGUCAGUAAACGUUUCUAUAAUUUGCUGCACACAGCAUAGGUCCAAUAGGAAAUUUCUCUACAAGGAAGAUUUUGAACAUAGAGAAAUAACAAGAAAUUAAAUUAGAUGGAAGAUAAACUAUUGGCCCUUCACUAACCUCUCUUUUUUUCUCCUUCAAGCAGAAGAAAUAGGUUAGUCCAAUGUCUAGGAAGGAACAUUUUUCAUUUUGAGCUUUCUGAAGCAUUUGUGUCUCUCUGAGCUCCUGCUAAACUCUCAUGAUUACAAUGAAAAAGUCAUGAAGUAAUGAAUCCUAAAUUUAGAUUUUAAUUUAAUAUUGAAUUAUAUUUUUAAAAUCUACCACUUGAUGACACCCAGUUUUAUUAGUGUGAUUCAAGACAAUUAAAAAUACAAAAACUGAUGAGUAUAUAGGUCUAUUCAAAACAUUUUGCUGCCAUCUCGUGGAUUCUUAGGAAAUAACCCCAGUUGUUCCGUGGGCUUUCUUGGAAUAUAUUAGUAGGUUUACCGGCACAGUUUAUGAAAAUAACUGGAAUAAAUGUAUGAGAAACAACAGCA
Molecule: long non-coding RNA, 2357 nt
Filed under: Fukomys damarensis (Damara mole-rat)
Lineage: Eukaryota; Metazoa; Chordata; Mammalia; Rodentia; Bathyergidae
Description: lncRNA (ENSFDAG00000031790.1)
Source: RNAcentral